RNAcentral lists this ribosomal RNA (390 nucleotides) under Penicillium sp. CL-6. Its description in RNAcentral is "eukaryotic LSU rRNA". The stretch from base 40 to 188 matches the Rfam family "5.8S ribosomal RNA". The record is from RNAcentral. Lineage: Eukaryota; Fungi; Ascomycota; Eurotiomycetes; Eurotiales; Aspergillaceae.
GAUUUACUGAUGAAGAAGGGUUGAUUAUGAAAAUUGUCAAAAUUUCAACAAUGGAUUUUGGUUCCGGCAUCGAGAAGAACCAGCGAAAUGCGAUAAGUAAAAGAAUUGCAGAAUUCCGGGAAUCAUCGAUUCUCAUUACGUACAGCGCUUCGCUGGGCUUUUCGGGGGGCAUGCCUGUAAGAGAUUCAUUUUUGAAAUCUAGCACAAUCUUCAUAGUACUCAGGCAGCCCUUCUUCAUCAGGGUUCAAGAAGCGCUUCGGCGGGCGUGGGCCCGGGGACAGGCGUCCCCCGGCGACCAGGGAGCCCCAGUGGGCCCGCCAAAGCAACAGGUGUAGAGAGACAAGGGUGGGAGGUUGGGCCACGAGGGCCUCGCACUCGGUAAUGAUGCUA